This 67-nucleotide transfer RNA is filed under the name Pelecinus polyturator. Its description in RNAcentral is "tRNA-Pro". The record is from RNAcentral. Lineage: Eukaryota; Metazoa; Arthropoda; Insecta; Hymenoptera; Pelecinidae.
UUAAAAAUAGUUUAAUUAAAACAUUAAUUUUGGAGAUUAAAAUUAUUAUUUAAAAUUAUUUUUUAAA